Molecule: long non-coding RNA, 5199 nt
Filed under: Sus scrofa (pig)
Lineage: Eukaryota; Metazoa; Chordata; Mammalia; Artiodactyla; Suidae
Description: lncRNA (ENSSSCG00060006131.1)
Source: RNAcentral
UUUUUCCAUUCUAGUUGAUUUGCAGUGUUCUGUCAAUUUCUACUGUACAGCAAAGUGACCCAGUCAUACAUAUACACAUAUACUCUUUUUCUGACAUUAUUGUCCAUCAUGUUCCAUCAUACGUGACUAGAUAGAGUUAGUUCCCUGUGCUAUAUAGAGGAUCUCAUUGCUUAUCCACUCCAAAUGCAAUAGUUUGCAUUUAUUAACUCCAAACUCACAAUCUAUCACACUCCCUCCCUCUCCCACCUUGGCAACCACAAGUCUGUUCUCCAAGUCCAUAUGUUUCUCUUCUGUGGAAAGGUUCUUUUUGGCCAUAUAUUAGCUUCCAGCUAUUGCUGAUAUUAUAUGGUAUUUGUCUUUCUCUUUCUGGCUUACUUCACUUAGUAUGAGAGUCUCUAGUGCCAUCCAUGUUGCUGCAAGUGGCAUUAUUUUGUUCUUUUUAUGGCUGAGUAGUAUUCCAUUGUGUAUAUAUACCACAUCUUCUUAAUCCCUUCAUCUAUCAAUGGACAUUUAGGUUGUUUCCAAGUCUUGGCUAUUGCAAAUAGUGCUGCAAUGAACGUACGGGUGCAUGUAUCAUUUUCAAGGAAAGUUUUGUCUGGAUAUGUGCCCUAGAGUGGGAUUGCUGGGUCAUAUGGUACUUCUAUAUUUAGUUUCCUGAGAUACCUCCAUACUGUUUUCCAUAGUGGUUGUACCAAUUUACAUUCCCACCAACAAUGCAGGAGGGUUCUCUUUUCUCCACACACUCUCCAGCAUUUGUUAUUUGUUGACUUGUUAAUGAUGGCCAUUCUGACAGGUAGGAGGUGGUACCUCAUAGUAGUUGUGAUUUGCAUUUAUUUCUCUAAUAAUUAGUGAUGUUGAGCAUUAUUUCAUGUGUUUGUUACCCAUUUGGUUAUCUUUGGAGAAAUGUCUGUUGGGUAUUUUACCCAUUUUUUCCAUUGGGUUAUUGUCUUUUUUGUUGUUGAGUUGUAUAAGUUGUUUGUAUAUUUUAGAGAUUAAGCCCUUGUCAGUUGCAUUGUUUGAAACUAUUUUCUCUCAUUCCAUAGGAAUGUCUUUUUUUUUAUGGUUUUCUUUGCUGUACAAAACCUUGUCAGUUUGGUCAGGUCCUGAUGGUUUAUUUUUGCUUUCAUUUCUACUGCCUUGGGAAACUGAGCUAAGAAAACACUUGUACGGUUAAUGUCAGAGAAUGUUUUGCCUGUGUUCUCUUCUAGGAGUUUUAUGGUGUCUUGUCUUAUAUUUAAGUCUUUAAGGCAUUUUGAGUUUAUUGUUGUGCAUGGUGUGAUGGUCUGUUCCAAUAUCAAUGAUUUGCAAUCAGCUGUCCAGUUUUCCCAGCACCACUUGCUGAAAAGACUGUUUUUUCCCCAUUUUAUAUUCUUGCCUCCUUUGUCGAAGAUUAAAUGACCAUAGGUGUCUGGGUUUAUUUCUGGGUCCUCUAUUCUGUUCCAAUGGUCUGUAUGUCUGUUUUGAUACCAGUACCACACUGUCUUGAUUACUGUAGCUUUGUAACGUUGCCCGAAGUCUGGGAGAGUUACGCCUCCUGCUUGGUUUUUGUUCCUCAGGAUUGCUUUGGCAAUUCUGGGUCUUUUAUGGUUCCAUAUAAAUUUUUGGCUUGUUUGUUCUAGUUCUGUGAAAAUGUCAUGGGAAACUUGAUAAGGAUUGCAUUGAAUCUGUAGAUUGCUUUGGGUAUAUGGCCAUUUUUAUGAUAUUCUUCCAACCCAGGAGCAAGGAGCAUGGAACAUCUUUCCAUUUAUUUGAAUCCUCUUUAAUUUUCUUGAUUAAUGUUUUAUAGUUCUCAGCAUAUGUGUCUUUCACCUCCUUGAUUAGGUUUAAUGUCAAUUCUCUUCCUGGAACUGGGGUUAAUUUAAAUCUUCGAAUUCAUUCCCUUAACAAAUAAUUACUGAAUAACUACUUAUUAUGUAUUAGGCUAGAUAAACAAGACAUCCUGUCUUCAAAGAGCUCAAAAUCUAAUACUGUUUAAAUUAAUUUCCAUUUACAAUCUUUGUUAGGCAUAUGCUGGAGUUUACGACACAGCUAUGCUUUAACCUUCUCCAACUAAACCGAUAAACAUUUUCAAAUCUUCUAAUUCUCUGGCCAAUUUUAUUGUCAGUAUUAAUGCUCCCACUUCUCUCAAAUACAUUGAAUCCUUUAAUUUGUUGAAGAGGUGAGUUCUUCAUUUAUUUAUUCAGUUAUUUCACCCAUUUGUGUGAAGCCUUGAUCUGUGCCAGAGAGUCCAUGUGGAAGAGGCCAGCUUUAUAAAGACAAGGCAGAGUCUGACUUAGGAGAGCGCAUAGCCUUCAGAAAGCCAAGGAGGAGGAGUAAACCAAGAGAAUCCUUGGAUCCCACUGGCACUGUGGGCUGUGUAGGGAGCCAGGGGCUCCCUAGUGGACAUGAUUUCAGAUCUGGGAAUGUAUUAAGGGCCUGGCACAUUUAUGAUUAGAAACUAGGGGUUCCCACUACUUCACAGUGCUUUUGAUUUUUACUUUGUUUGUCAUUAUUUUCAUGCCUUCAUCAUUUCCACAACUUUGUCCCAGAUCAUCUCCAUUCUCCUAGAGCCACUUCAUUUAUCCCACACUAAGACCAUCUCCAAGAUGACUGUAUCACCUCCUCCUUGAGAAGCUAAAAACUAGGCAGUGAAAUUUCUCAACUCCAUUCCCCUUCUUUCAACCCAACUGUUACCUUCAGCAAAUACUUCAUCCUUUUUCCCUCUUUUCUAAAGCUAAAUUAUCCACCUGAGUGCCAAAUCUCAUCUCCAUCCAUUUUCUCAAGGACCUAAAUGAGAUCUUUCUAUUCCUCUCCUAUAUUUUUUCCCCUUUUAAUAGAAGUAUAGUUGAUUUAUAGUGUUGUGUUAGUUUACAGGUAUAGAGUAGAUGUGCAGCAAAGUGAUUCAGUUAUAUACAUAUAUCUUUUCUUCUUUUUCAGAUUCUUUUCCCAUAUAGGUUAUUAUAACAUAUUGAAUAUAGUUCCCUGUCCUAUACAGUAUUUCAUUGUUGUUUAUCUAUUUUAUAUGUAGUAGUAUGUAUAUGUUACUCUCAAAUUUCUAAUUUAUUUCACCCCUUCCCUUUCCUCUUUGAUAACCAUAAAUUUGUUUUAUAUAUCUACAAAUCUGUUUCUGUGUUGUAAAUAAGUUCAUUUGUAUUAUUUUUUUAGACUCCACAUAUGAGUGAUAUCAUAUGGUAUUUGUCUUUCUCUUUAUAUUUCACUUAGUAUGAUAAUCUCUAGGUCCUUCCAUGCUGCUGCAAAUGGCAUUAUUUCAUUAUUUUUAUGACUGAUUAAUAUUCCAUUGUAUAUAUGUACCACAUCUUUUUUUUUUAUCCCUUCAUUCUUCUGUCAAUGGACAUUUAUGUUGCUUCCAUGUCUUGGAUAUUAUGAAUAGUGCUGAAGGUAUUUGUAUUUUUUCAAAUUAUAAUUUUCUUCAGAUAGAUGCUUGGGAGUGGAACUGCAGGAUUGUAUAUGGUAACUCUAUUUUUAGUUUUUUAACGAAUCUCCAUACUGUUGUACAUAGUGGUUAUACCAAUUAACAUUCCUACCAACAGUGUAGAAGGGUUCCCUUUUCUCCACACCCUCUCCAGCAUUUAUUAUUCAUAUACUUUUUUUGGUAUUUUGUCUUUUUAGGGCUGCAUCCAUGGCGUAUGGAAAUUCCCUGGCUAGGGGUCCAAGAGAAGCUGUAGCUGCCGGCCUAUACCACAACCACAGCAACAUGGGAUGCAAGCCACGUCUGCAACCUACAACACAGCUCAGAGCAACACCUGAUCCUUAACUCACUGAGCAAGGCCAGGGAUUGAACCUAUGUCCUCAUGGAUACUAGUCAAGUUUGUUAACCACUGGGCCACACCGAAACUCCUAUUAUUUGUAUACUUUUUGAUGAUAGCCAUUCUGACUGAUUUGAGGUGAUGCCUCAUUGUGGUUUUGCUUUGCCUUUUUCUAAUAAUUAGCAAUAUUGAGCAUCUUUUCAUGUGCCUUUUGGCCAUCUGUCUGGCUUCUUUGGAGAAAUGUGUAUUUAGAACUUCUGUCCAUUUUUGAUUAGGCUGUUUGUUUUUCUUAAAAUAUUGAACUGCAUGAGCUGUUUGUAUAUUUUGGAGAUAAAUCCCUUGUCAGUUGCAUCAUUUGCAAAUGUUCUUCCAUUCUGUGUGUUGUCUUUUUGUUUUGUUUAUGGUUUCUUUUUGUGCAAAACUUCUAAGUUUAAUUAGGUCCCAUUUGUUUACUUUUGUUUUAUUUUCAUAACUCUAUGAGAUGGAUCCAAAAAGAUAUUGCUGCAAUUUAUGUCAAAGAGUGUCCUGCCUAUGUUUCUACUAGAAGUUUUAUUAUUUCUGGUCUUACAUUUAAAUUUUUUGUUUGUUUGUUUUUGUUUUUGUUUUGCUUUUUUUUUGCUUUUUAGGGCCGCACUUGUGGCAUACAGAACUUCCCAGGCUAGGUGUUGAAUCGGAGCUACAGCUGAUGGCCAUAGCCACAGCCCCAGCAAGGCCAGAUCUGAGCUGUGUCUGCAACCUAUACCACAGCUAACAUCAACACAGAACUGCUAAUCCACUCAGUGAGGACAGAGAUUGAACUUGCAUCCUCAUGGUUACUAGUCAGAUUUGUUUCCACUGAGCCACAAUGGGAACUCCCUUACAUUUAGAUCUUUAAUCCAUUUUGAAUUUAUUUUUUGUAUGAUUUUAGAGAGAGUUCAGAUUUCAUUCUUUGACAUGUAACUGUUCAGUUUUCCCAGCAGCACAUAUUGAAGAGACUGUCUUUUUUUCCAUUUAUAUUCUUACCUCCUUUGUCAUAGAUUAAUUGACCAUAGGUGCUUGGGUUUAUUUCUGGGUUUUCUAUCCUGUCCCAUUGAUCUAUAUUUCUGCUUUUGUGCCACUACUAUACACUUUUGAUUACUGUAGUUUUGCAGUAUAGUCUGAAGUCAAGGAGCCUGUUUGCUUCCUCCAGCUCUAUUUUUUCUUUCUCAAGAUUUCUUUGGCUAUUCAGUCUUUUGUAUUUCCAUACAAAUUUAACAACUUUUCAUUCUACUUCUGUGAAAAAGUCAUUAGUGGAAGUUCCCAUUUCGGUUCAGUGGUAAUGAUCCUGACUAGUAUCCAUGAGGAUAUGGGUUCAAUCCCUGGCCUUUCUCACUGGGUUAAGGAUCUGGCAUUGCCAUGAGCUGUGAUGCAGGUUGCAGAUGUGGUUUGGAUCUGGCAUUGCUGUGGCUGUGGUAUAGGCCAGCAGCUGCAGCUC